RNAcentral lists this ribosomal RNA (429 nucleotides) under Actinomycetes bacterium. RNAcentral's name for it is "Actinobacteria bacterium partial 16S ribosomal RNA". It matches the Rfam family "Bacterial small subunit ribosomal RNA", at positions 355 to 776 of the family's 1533-position model. The record is from RNAcentral. Lineage: Bacteria; Bacillati; Actinomycetota; Actinomycetes.
UAGGGAAUCUUCCGCAAUGGGCGAAAGCUUGACGGAGCAACGCCGCGUGAGUGAUGAAGGUCUCCGGAUCGUAAAACUCUGUUAUUAGGGAAGAACAAAUGUGCAAGUAACUAUGCACGUCUUGACGGUACCUAAUCAGAAAGCCACGGCUAACUACGUGCCAGCAGCCGCGGUAAUACGUAGGCGGCAAGCGUUAUCCGGAAUUAUUGGGCGUAAAGCGCGCGUAGGCGGUUCUUUAAGUCGGAUGUGAAAGCCCACGGCUCAACCGUGGAGUGUCAUUGGUAUCUGGACAACUUGCGUGCAGAAGAGGAAAGUGGAAUUCCAUGUGUAGCGGUGAGAUGCGCAUAGAUAUGGAGGAUCACCAGUAGCGAAGGCGACUUUCUGGUCUGUAACUGACGCUAAUGUGCGAAAGCGUGGAGAUCAAACAGG